AAUCCUGGCUCAGGAUGAACGCUGGCGGCGUGCCUAACACAUGCAAGUCGAACGAAGCUUGACGGAUGAUUUCUUCGGAAUGAAACCAGAUAUGACUUAGUGGCGGACGGGUGAGUAACACGUGAGCAACCUGCCUUUCAGAGGGGGAUAACGGCUGGAAACGGUCGCUAAUACCGCAUGAUGUGUUCGGAUGGCAUCAUCUGAACAUCAAAGAUUUAUCGCUGAAAGAUAGG
Molecule: ribosomal RNA, 233 nt
Filed under: uncultured bacterium
Lineage: Bacteria
Description: partial 16S ribosomal RNA
Rfam family: Bacterial small subunit ribosomal RNA
Source: RNAcentral